Molecule: long non-coding RNA, 1587 nt
Filed under: Callithrix jacchus (white-tufted-ear marmoset)
Lineage: Eukaryota; Metazoa; Chordata; Mammalia; Primates; Cebidae
Description: lncRNA (ENSCJAG00000076127.1)
Source: RNAcentral
AUGUCAAUCUCCUUACAUAUAUCAUGCAAUAUUUUUUUCUUUUUCAGGAAACAUAAGGAAUUCAUGAAUUGUGACACAGUUCUUAAGAGCCUAACCAAGUUGGCUAUGUCCUUCCCUGUGAGAAAACGGAGACACAGAAUGAUACAUUAUUUGUCCAAGUUUUCACAGUUAGAAGAGCUAUUCCAGGAAAUCAAUUAUAUUGGUAAGUUUGUUUAUCUGUUUUGGAGACAAAGACAUAAUAUACCCUGUCUUUCAUGGUGCACUUUUUUUUCAGAGAUCUCAUGUUAUGGGUAUUUUAUGCCUUUGUCUCCAGAUAAUAUGUUGCUUAUUAGUAUAUUUUUAAUAUUAACUUUUCCUCUAAUAAGGUGAAAUAUAUUCAGACUUGCGUUUGCAAAGAAGGCAUUGAGGUUUGGUAUUUGAAUAUGGUUAAAAGCCCUUUUCAAAUAAACAGCUUGAGAACAGGUUAGUAUAUUUCCUCACUGAAUUUUCAGUUAUUUCAUCUAGCAAGCCUCAAAUUCAUUUUUGUUUUUUUUUAAUUUAAUUUUUUUGAGACAGAGUCUCUCUUUGUUACCCAGGCUGGAGUGCAAUGGUGCAAUCUUGGCUCACUGCAACCUCCACCCACCAGAAUUCAAUGGAUUCUCCUGCCUCAGCCUCCGGAGUAGCUAGGAUUACAGGUGUGCACCACCAAGCCUAGCUAAUUUUUUUUUAUUUUUAUUUUAAGUAAAGACAAGAGUUUCACCAUGUUGGCCAGGCUGAUCUUGAAUUCCUGACCUCAAGUGAUCCACCUGUCUCUGCCUCCCAAAGUGCUGGGAUUACAGGCAUAAGCCACCAAGCCCGGCCAAGCCUCAUACAUUUAAUUAGAUAUUUUCACCCUUAUCCUUCUAGCUAUUCUUCCGACAUAUGAAAAACUAGAGUAAUUUUCAUUUACUAUCUUAAGAACUUUCCCUUUUCUAGGCCAGCCUGUAGCACCACAUUUACUGGGACUCUGCCACCCAGGGUGCAACACUUCAAAGUUUUAAUUUGUGUCAUUUUAUUGUCUGGAAGUUGUGCAUCAGGAGUUGAUUGUGUAGUUUUCUGGCUGGAGCAGCCCCUGGCUCUCUAAGCAAGGAGUUAUACAUUAAUGAGAGGCUGGCUGUGUAUUCCCACAUCUUUUCAGCUACAGGAUGUCAUUAUGUUUCAUGGGGUAAAACAUGGAAGAAAAAAUGUUUUCCACCUUAAUCUAUUUAUAGUUUCUCCCAACUUAUAUUUAGUAGAAAUUAUUUUCAUACAGCAUGAAUCCAAUGUAUGAUAAUAUUUGUCUUGUGAAUUUACCUUUUUCUUAAUGUCAUACAUAAUUUUAUGGAAAUUUAUAAGGCUCUUUGCCAGAAACUGUUUAAAUCAGACUACUCAUUCAUUAGGUUCAUUGAUUUUUCUAAAUGAGCUACCAGAGCAUUAUCUUAUGUAUUUCCCUUACUUACACGUUAUUGGUGAAGGAGAAGAAACUCAUUUUUGUCCUUUGAUCACUAACGUUAUUAUUUUACAAACUCAAUUACAUAAAAAAUAAAUAGGUAGAAAAGAAAUUUUUUAAUAGCAGCAUCUAAGUACACA